UAAUCAAAAUAAUGACCACAAAGGCUUUUAAGGAGUUCUUUCGUUUAACUAUCUCUCUAAAAGCAAUUUACUGUAGCUAGUCAAUGUUUAUUUGAAUUUGUUUUUAUUUUCUCCACCUCACAUGUUCUGGCUAUAAAUAUGCAUUUCCUGUCAGAACAUGGUCUGUUAAGGAUUUUGAAGCUAGAGGAAGCUCUGAAUCCGUAGUUGAGCAGAUCAUAAAUAGUUCUUGCAUUUCGUUCACGGUUUAUUG
Molecule: unclassified non-coding RNA, 250 nt
Filed under: Hevea brasiliensis (rubber tree)
Lineage: Eukaryota; Viridiplantae; Streptophyta; Magnoliopsida; Malpighiales; Euphorbiaceae
Source: RNAcentral